AUUGAACGCUGGCGGCAGGCUUAACACAUGCAAGUCGAGCGGGGGAAGGUAGCUUGCUACCGGACCUAGCGGCGGACGGGUGAGUAAUGCUUAGGAAUCUGCCUAUUAGUGGGGGACAACAUCUCGAAAGGGGUGCUAAUACCGCAUACGUCCUACGGGAGAAAGCAGGGGGUCUUCGGACCUUGCGCUAAUAGAUGAGCCUAAGUCGGAUUAGCUAGUUGGUGGGGUAAAGGCCUACCAAGGCGACGAUCUGUAGCGGGUCUGAGAGGAUGAUCCGCCACACUGGGACUGGGACACGGCCCAGACUCCUACGGGAGGCAGCAGUGGGGAAUAUUGGACAAUGGGGGGAACCCUGAUCCAGCCAUGCCGCGUGUGUGAAGAAGGCCUUAUGGUUGUAAAGCACUUUAAGCGAGGAGGAGGCUACUUUAGUUAAUACCUAGAGAUAGUGGACGUUACUCGCAGAAUAAGCACCGGCUAACUCUGUGCCAGCCGCCGCCGUAA
This 501-nucleotide ribosomal RNA is filed under the name uncultured bacterium. RNAcentral's name for it is "partial 16S ribosomal RNA". It matches the Rfam family "Bacterial small subunit ribosomal RNA", at positions 30 to 523 of the family's 1533-position model. The record is from RNAcentral.